This 73-nucleotide transfer RNA is filed under the name Trichobilharzia regenti. It matches the Rfam family "tRNA". Rfam says of the family: Transfer RNA (tRNA) molecules are approximately 80 nucleotides in length. The record is from Rfam by way of RNAcentral. Lineage: Eukaryota; Metazoa; Platyhelminthes; Trematoda; Strigeidida; Schistosomatidae.
GCGUCGGUGGUUUAGCGGUUAGGACGCUCGCCAACCAUGCACAUGGUCCAGGGUUCGACUCCCGGCCGACGUA